Molecule: long non-coding RNA, 1141 nt
Organism: Anas platyrhynchos (mallard)
Lineage: Eukaryota; Metazoa; Chordata; Aves; Anseriformes; Anatidae
Source: RefSeq, a predicted model, not a curated record
GGCUUAGAUCAAGGUGGCAAGAUGAUGUAAAAAGUGAGGGAAUUUUUUCCUUAACCUAAGUCUCCUUACUAGAAUUAAUCUACUUGCAAUGUUUUCACUUAGAGGUACUUAGCUGAAGCUGGGCAAGGUGGAGGUCUCGCGCAAUGUGCAAGUCAAAUUCUCAGUCUUGUGUGUGCAACGUGCGAAAAAAAAAGGAAGCAGGAAGAGGACAGCACGAACACCUUUUUCCUCUCUUGGGAGUGGAAGAGCCAGCUCGCUGCAUGACCAUCCUUCCUCAGAUUGUUUCUUCUGGGUAGUUCGUGGUGACAGCAGGCUUUGAGGAGGCCCCUAGUGCACGCAUCCCCGUGGUCCUGCAAGCACCCUCCCUUCUCCAUGUCACUGCCAGCACCACUGCAGGUUCUCAGCAUGCCAGCCCAGCCACACCUCUUGUCCCAAAAACGAGGGUCCUGCAAGAGUUGCUGCAAGAAGAGCUUGAUCAACUCCUUGGGAAGUGCCAUGGCCUUCCUUGUGCUCCACAGUCCUCCACAAAGGACCGACCUGAUCUGACAGGGGUCAGGAGUAUCCAACCCCACAGACGGGCUGAGGAUUUUUAUUCUGUGUCCCCACGAGGAGCUGCUGCACUGAGCUUUCAUCUAGCGGGCUCAAGUGUUUGGGAAGGUGUUGGAAGCUUGUGCCAGGGGAGGCAUUCAGCUUGUGCCAAGCUGUGCGUUUGUGUGGCCGCGCUGGAUCUGCUACCAGGAUCUGCUUUGUGCUGGUGAAACAUGCAGCCCUGGAGAUGUGGGGGGAACUGAAGCCUUUGAGAUCCAGAUGGUAUAAUUUCCUUUCUUUCCCUGAACCUGGCCAAGACCAAGGGCUGGAUGAGAAUCAGCUGGAAGGCAACCUGGCAAGAGGGAUGCAAGGUGUGAGGAGAUGGGCAAGAGGAUCCACUGCCAUGGCCUGACUGUGCCCACCUUUGCCAAUGAGUUUGGCAGUUUUUGAGUAUUUCCAGAAUCUGCUGGCUCUCAGAUUCCCACAUGAUGAACUUUCCAGCCACUGUCUUUCAACACGCUAGCUCAGGCAACAGGCUGAACCCUGAUUUUUCUCAGUUUCACCUUUUGGUUGGCCUAUUGCAAGGUGCUGCCUUAACAGCUGCCUGGGACAA